UGCCAGCCGCCGCGGUAAUACGGAGGGUGCAAGCGUUAAUCGGAAUUACUGGGCGUAAAGCGUACGUAGGCGGUCAAUUAAGUCGGAUGUGAAAGCCCCGGGCUCAACCUGGGAAUUGCAUUCGAUACUGGUUGACUAGAGUGUGGCAGAGGAAAGUGGAAUUCCGAGUGUAGGGGUGAAAUCCGUAGAUAUUCGGAGGAACACCAGUGGCGAAGGCGGCUUUCUGGACCGAUACUGACGCUGAGACGCGAAAGCGUGGGGAGCAAACAGGAUUAGAUA
Molecule: ribosomal RNA, 279 nt
Filed under: uncultured bacterium
Lineage: Bacteria
Description: partial 16S ribosomal RNA
Rfam family: Bacterial small subunit ribosomal RNA
Source: RNAcentral